Solanum pennellii is the source of this 273-nucleotide long non-coding RNA. RefSeq lists it as uncharacterized. The record is from RefSeq and is a predicted model, not a curated record. The transcript is spliced from 3 exons. NCBI's taxonomy places the organism in Eukaryota, Viridiplantae, Streptophyta, Magnoliopsida, Solanales, Solanaceae.
AUUACGAGACUGUGUUUUUGUGGUGCUUGUGAUUUUCUUUUUUUCCGAGGCUUCUUAGAGAUUUAAAAGGUAUUCCCUACGCUCCAUCUCAUAGAUCGUCGGAGAUCCCUCAUCUGUGCACCGGGACAAGGAAAUGGAUCCACAUUAAAGGUCAUAGUACCAAGAUUUGAUCUUUUCAAGAUUACUUGCUCUGUCACCCAUAUAAUUUUAACAAAAUGUCAUGUAUCAUGUAAUGUAAUCUUUUAAUAAAUAAAUAAAAUUGAUCUUUAAAUG